RNAcentral lists this ribosomal RNA (431 nucleotides) under uncultured bacterium. RNAcentral's name for it is "bacterial SSU rRNA". It matches the Rfam family "Bacterial small subunit ribosomal RNA", at positions 917 to 1345 of the family's 1533-position model. The record is from RNAcentral.
GGACCCGCACAAGCAGUGGAGCAUGUGGUUUAAUUCGAAGAUACGCGCAGAACCUUACCAACACUUGACAUGUUCGUCGCGAGACCAAGAGAUUGGUUUCUUCAUUUAGUUGGACGAAACACAGGUGCUGCAUGGCUGUCGUCAGCUCGUGUCGUGAGAUGUUGGGUUAAGUCCCGCAACGAGCGCAACCCCCUACCUUUAGUUGCCACCAUUUAGUUGGGUACUCUAGAGGGACUGCCAGUGAUAAGCUGGAGGAAGGCGGGGAUGACGUCAAGUCCUCAUGGCCCUUACGUGUUGGGCUACACACGUGCUACAAUGAUACUUACAAUGGGAAGCAAAGAGGCGACUCAGAGCUAAUCCCUAAAAAUGUAUCUCAGUUCGGAUUGCACUCUGUAACUCGAGUGCAUGAAGCUGGAAUUGCUAGUAAUCGC